This 72-nucleotide transfer RNA is filed under the name Stegodyphus mimosarum. It matches the Rfam family "tRNA". Rfam says of the family: Transfer RNA (tRNA) molecules are approximately 80 nucleotides in length. Their secondary structure includes four short double-helical elements and three loops (D, anti-codon, and T loops). Further hydrogen bonds mediate the characteristic L-shaped molecular structure. tRNAs have two regions of fundamental functional importance: the anti-codon, which is responsible for specific mRNA codon recognition, and the 3' end, to which the tRNAs corresponding amino acid is attached (by aminoacyl-tRNA synthetases). tRNAs cope with the degeneracy of the genetic code in two manners: having more than one tRNA (with a specific anti-codon) for a particular amino acid; and 'wobble' base-pairing, i.e. permitting non-standard base-pairing at the 3rd anti-codon position. The record is from Rfam by way of RNAcentral. Lineage: Eukaryota; Metazoa; Arthropoda; Arachnida; Araneae; Eresidae.
GCCUUCGUGGUGUAGUGGUCAGCACGCUCGACGCGCAACUGAGAGGUUGUGGUUCGAUUCCCGGCGAAGGCU